GGCCCGGGGCUUUAGUCCUCAAACUUGGUUCAUAAUAAGCUCAUUCCAAUUUUGAUUUAUAGAAGGACUAUGGGUUAUCUGGAUCAACACCAUCCUGAGCUAAGGAAUGAGGUACGGGCCGGGGCUUCCACCGGGAGGAGGGCAACUCACAGGAAGGUGAGAAGAGCAGACAUCUGGUGAUCAGGUAUUUGUCCUCUAUGCAGAAAACCAAGGUCAGAAAUACAUAGAAUUGAAGUCGAGAAAAUGCUUUUGUUAUAAGCACCCCCAAGGAUGUGGUGUUCCUGUCACCUGUGCUUGGCACCCUUCCUCAUCCAAGUGCCACCACCUCAGAGGCUUUCCAAGGCUGUGUCCUUCUGCCUGCAGCAAAUGAGCACCCCGACUCUUAGGUUUUGGAAAUUGUUCUGGACUGAACUGUGUCCCUCCAAAAUUCACAUGUUGAAAUACCUCAGAAAGUGACUGUAUUUGGAGACGUGGCCCUUAAAGAGGUGGGUCCUAAAUCCAGUGACAAGUGUCCUUAUAAGAGACACGCAGAGGAGAGAGAUAAAGCCACGUGAAGACGGAGGCAGAGAUUAGAACGAUGCAGCCACAAGCCAAGGACACCUGGAGUCACCAGAAACCUAACAAGGCAAGGAAGGAGUCUCCUCUAGAGCCUUCAGAGGGCCUGUGGCCCGGACAACACCUUGAUUUUGGACUUCUGGUCUCCAGAACGGUGAAAGACUAAAUUUCUGUUGUUUUCAGCCACCAAGUCUGUAGUAAUUUGCUACAGCAGCUUCAGGAAACUAACACAACAUGUAAAAUAGUUUCAAAAUUGCUAACCGGACCCUUAGGAGAAACAAAUUUACCAACUAGAGCACAAUGUUUGUAUAUAGUUCUUUUUGUCUGCCCCACAGUGUCCAGUUAAAAUACUGUUUUUCUAAGCUACUUAGGUCAACUCCACUG
RNAcentral lists this long non-coding RNA (939 nucleotides) under Equus caballus (horse). RNAcentral's name for it is "lncRNA (ENSECAG00000050235.1)". The record is from RNAcentral. Lineage: Eukaryota; Metazoa; Chordata; Mammalia; Perissodactyla; Equidae.